RNAcentral lists this small RNA (44 nucleotides) under Fuerstiella marisgermanici. RNAcentral's name for it is "Fuerstia marisgermanicae Acido-Lenti-1 RNA". It matches the Rfam family "Acido-Lenti-1 RNA". Lineage: Bacteria; Pseudomonadati; Planctomycetota; Planctomycetia; Planctomycetales; Planctomycetaceae. The record is from Rfam by way of RNAcentral.
CCUCGGGCUGACGCCCGAGGCUACGUUCUGCCGCCCUCCGGGCG